RNAcentral lists this long non-coding RNA (208 nucleotides) under Elaeis guineensis (African oil palm). RNAcentral's name for it is "long non-coding RNA (EGUI_LNC039071)". Lineage: Eukaryota; Viridiplantae; Streptophyta; Magnoliopsida; Arecales; Arecaceae. The record is from RNAcentral.
GACAAAGGAGAAUUUAUCGUUAAGUCCUUAAAAUUAUUUGCGAUCAAAUGAUACGCUAUUACUAGGACGAUAGCGAUGUCAAAUGUAGGUCAUUGUGUGCCAUAUGAGUUGGUUGUCCUCUUAACCAAUGAGUAUGGAGAACUGUUAUGGCAUGCAGAUAGAAUGUAAGAGUACAUUCGCAUUGAAUGUGAUCAUGUAUCGAGCACUC